Molecule: ribosomal RNA, 320 nt
Filed under: uncultured bacterium
Lineage: Bacteria
Description: bacterial SSU rRNA
Rfam family: Bacterial small subunit ribosomal RNA
Source: RNAcentral
CGCAAGGGGAGCGGCAGACGGGUGAGUAACGCGUGGGAAUCUACCCAUCUCUACGGAACAACUCCGGGAAACUGGAGCUAAUACCGUAUACGUCCUUCGGGAGAAAGAUUUAUCGGAGAUGGAUGAGCCCGCGUUGGAUUAGCUAGUUGGUGGGGUAAUGGCCUACCAAGGCGACGAUCCAUAGCUGGUCUGAGAGGAUGAUCAGCCACACUGGGACUGAGACACGGCCCAGACUCCUACGGGAGGCAGCAGUGGGGAAUAUUGCACAAUGGGCGAAAGCCUGACGGAGUGACGCCGCGUGGGGGACGAAGGCCUUCGGG